RNAcentral lists this ribosomal RNA (497 nucleotides) under uncultured bacterium. RNAcentral's name for it is "partial 16S ribosomal RNA". It matches the Rfam family "Bacterial small subunit ribosomal RNA", at positions 28 to 507 of the family's 1533-position model. The record is from RNAcentral.
GAUGAACGCUGGCGGCGUGCCUAAUACAUGCCAGUCGAGCGAACAGACGAGGAGCUUGCUCCUCUGACGUUAGCGGCGGACGGGUGAGUAACACGUGGAUAACCUACCUAUAAGGCUGGGAUAACUUCGGGAAACCGGAGCUAAUACCGGAUAAUAUAUUGAACCGCAUGGUUCAAUAGUGAAAGACGGUUUUGCUGUCACUUAUAGAUGGAUCCGCGCCGCAUUAGCUAGUUGGUAAGGUAACGGCUUACCAAGGCGACGAUGCGUAGCCGACCUGAGAGGGUGAUCGGCCACACUGGAACUGAGACACGGUCCCGAAUCCUACGGGAGGCAGCAGUAGGGAAUCUUCCGCAAUGGGCGAAAGCCUGACGGAGCAACGCCGCGUGAGUGAUGAAGGUCUUCGGAUCGUAAAACUCUGUUAUUAGGGAAGAACAAAUGUGUAAGUAACUAUGCACGUCUUGACGGUACCUAAUCAGAAAGCCACGGCUAACUACGUG